Etheostoma cragini (Arkansas darter) is the source of this 377-nucleotide long non-coding RNA. RefSeq lists it as uncharacterized. The record is from RefSeq and is a predicted model, not a curated record. NCBI's taxonomy places the organism in Eukaryota, Metazoa, Chordata, Actinopteri, Perciformes, Percidae. The transcript is spliced from 3 exons.
UGUAAGUGUAUGUAUAAAUGAUGCUACAUAGGCUAUAUCUAAUUAAAUAUGCAGUAAUUUGCCUAUAUUUUGAAGCAAAGAAUCUGACCAUUGAAAAAAACAAGGUUCGAAAUGUUUGCAUUUUGUUGAUAAAAGACAUUUACAGAGGGGAUUAUGAAUAUCUCCUUUUGUUACCCAGUAAAUCAGAAAAUACUGCCAAUAGCCUUAAAAAUGGAUUUCCUCCCUAUUUUUAGGCAUAACAUGUCAAAUAAAUCAUGCCAAGAGGGAUAUAUCAACAACUCCCCCUAUGAAAAUCUUAUAAAUAGUUAGGAAUACCACUGUAAAGUUUGGUGUAUGUAGGUGCUACAGAAGUGGAAACACUUCGCCCAGCGUGUGAG